AUUGAACGCUGGCGACAGGCCUAACACAUGCAAGUCGAGCGCGAAAGUCUUCGGAUGAGUAAAGCGGCGAACGGGUGAGUAAUGCAUGGGAAUCUGCCUGGUAGUGGGGGACAACGUCUCGAAAGGGACGCUAAUACCGCAUACGCCCUACGGGGGAAAGGGGGGGAUCUUCGGACCUCUCGCUAUCAGAUGAGCCCAUGUCAGAUUAGCUAGUUGGUGAGGUAAAGGCUCACCAAGGCGACGAUCUGUAACUGGUCUGAGAGGAUGAUCAGUCACACUGGAACUGAGACACGGUCCAGACUCCUACGGGAGGCAGCAGUGGGGAAUAUUGGACAAUGGGGGCAACCCUGAUCCAGCCAUGCCGCGUGUGUGAAGAAGGCCCUAGGGUUGUAAAGCACUUUCAGUGGGGAGAAAGGUUAUUCACCUAAUACGUGAGUAGAUUGAUGUUACCCACAGAAGAAGC
Molecule: ribosomal RNA, 463 nt
Filed under: uncultured bacterium
Lineage: Bacteria
Description: bacterial SSU rRNA
Rfam family: Bacterial small subunit ribosomal RNA
Source: RNAcentral